Molecule: ribosomal RNA, 138 nt
Filed under: Escherichia coli
Lineage: Bacteria; Pseudomonadati; Pseudomonadota; Gammaproteobacteria; Enterobacterales; Enterobacteriaceae
Description: partial 16S ribosomal RNA
Rfam family: Bacterial small subunit ribosomal RNA
Source: RNAcentral
UUAAAUUGAAGAGUUUGAUCAUGGCUCAGAUUGAACGCUGGCGGUAGGCCUAACACAUGCAAGUCGAACGGUAACAGGAAGCAGCUUGCUGCUUUGCUGACGAGUGGCGGACGGGUGAGUAAUGUCUGGGAAACUGCC